Molecule: long non-coding RNA, 648 nt
Organism: Camelina sativa (false flax)
Lineage: Eukaryota; Viridiplantae; Streptophyta; Magnoliopsida; Brassicales; Brassicaceae
Source: RefSeq, a predicted model, not a curated record
UUUAGGAGUGUUUUUUGUUAACGUUUCUGCAAAACGGGAGGGUUAGAUUUGUUAACGGAAUUUAGUUGGGGGUUUAAAUCGUAAGAAAAAAAAAGGAAUAGUUUAGGGUUUUUGUAAUACAUUUGCUGCAGACUUUUGUCUAAUUCGUUCGACGAUACCAAGAAGAAGAAGAAGAAGAAGAAGAAGAAGAAGAGAUGAGAGGCAAGGAGCCGGGUGCGAUUGGGCGAUGCUUCAUCAAGUUUGCAAAUAAGAUCCACCAGCAUGUCGAUGGUAGACUGUUAAGUUGUGCCGUAACAUUAUUCGCCGGAGUUUCUUACGGCGACAUUACGGGUGGUGUUGUCAAGGAUUGGGACACCAAAGAAAAGCUUGAGCUAGAAAGGAAAGAUAUUGAAAGACAGAUGCAAGAGUAUGAAGCUGAAGCCAGAAAAGUGUUUAAGUAGAUUAGAAAAGCAAAGAAGCGCCCCUUCCUUUUUAUGUACCAACCAACCCUAGCCCGUCCUUUAACCCUAGGUUGAGUUCUGAAUUCUGAUCAAAUGAGCGGUUUUGAUGUUUCUGCCUUGUGAAGUGCUUUUGACUCUUACCAUAUAAUAGAGAUGUCUUUUGUUUUUUUGGAUAGAGAAAGCUCUCAAUUCAAGUUAUUUUUGUAUC